RNAcentral lists this ribosomal RNA (490 nucleotides) under uncultured bacterium. RNAcentral describes it as "partial 16S ribosomal RNA". It matches the Rfam family "Bacterial small subunit ribosomal RNA", at positions 30 to 507 of the family's 1533-position model. The record is from RNAcentral.
AUUGAACGCUGGCGGCAGGCCUAACACAUGCAAGUCGAACGGUAACAGGAAACAGCUUGCUGUUUCGCUGACGAGUGGCGGACGGGCGAGUAAUGUCUGGGAAACUGCCUGAUGGAGGGGGAUAACUACUGGAAACGGUAGCUAAUACCGCAUAACGUCGCAAGACCAAAGAGGGGGACCCCCGGGCCUCUUGCCAUCGGAUGUGCCCAGAUGGGAUUAGCUUGUUGGUGGGGUAACGGCUCACCAAGGCGACGAUCCCUAGCUGGUCUGAGAGGAUGACCAGCCACACUGGAACUGAGACACGGUCCAGACUCCUACGGGAGGCAGCAGUGGGGAAUAUUGCACAAUGGGCGCAAGCCUGAUGCAGCCAUGCCGCGUGUAUGAAGAAGGCCUUCGGGUUGUAAAGUACUUUCAGCGGGGAGGAAGGGAGUAAAGUUAAUACCUUUGCUCAUUGACGUUACCCGCAGAAGAAGCACCGGCUAACUCCGUG